GAUGAACGCUGGCGGCGUGCCUAAUACAUGCAAGUCGAGCGAACGGACGAGAAGCUUGCUUUUCUGAUGUUAGCGGCGGACGGGUGAGUAACACGUGGAUAACCUACCUAUAAGACUGGGAUAACUUCGGGAAACCGGAGCUAAUACCGGAUAAUAUUUUGAACCGCAUGGUUCAAAAGUGAAAGACGGUCUUGUUGUCACUUAUAGAUGGAUCCGCGCUGCAUUAGCUAGUUGGUAAGGUAACGGCUUACCAAGGCAACGAUGCAUAGCCGACCUGAGAGGGUGACCGGCCACACUGGAACUGAGACACGGUCCAGACUCCUACGGGAGGCAGCAGUAGGGAAUCUUCCGCAAAGGGCGAAAGCCUGACGGAGCAACGCCGCGUGAGUGAUGAAGGUCUUCGGAUCGUAAAACUCUGUUAUUAGGGAAGAACAUAUGUGUAAGUAACUGUGCACAUCUUGACGGUACCUAAUCAGAAAGCCACGGCUAACUACGUG
RNAcentral lists this ribosomal RNA (497 nucleotides) under uncultured bacterium. RNAcentral's name for it is "partial 16S ribosomal RNA". It matches the Rfam family "Bacterial small subunit ribosomal RNA", at positions 28 to 507 of the family's 1533-position model. The record is from RNAcentral.